AAGAGAAGAAGCACCUAAAAAUUAACCUUUAAAAAAAGAAGCAGGUUUAGGAUUCAGAUACCAUUAGGCUAAUGCUUUCACGGAAACAGAAUUAUGAGCCAAAUAAUUUCUCAUUUUGUCCUCACUCUUGUAAUCUGUGCAGGGUUAGCUACCAAAAGGAAAUACCAGUCUGCUGAGACAAUGAAACGGAGGACAGCCUAUGUGAAUACUGUGGAUACUUCAAGAUAUUCCCUACAAUUAUGUCCCUGCUGAUACAUUGUCCAUCUUCCAGUGAUUCUUCUCACUCUGAAAUGAAACUGUCAAAUCCAUAAUGAGCCGAAGGAGCAUUGGGCUUCUUGAAUGAUGAAAAAGCAGUAUUUAGCAGAAGCCACCACUGUGAGGUCGACUGACCCCUUUCAGAAUGGCACUGAAAAGGCAGUUUUGGAAGUUAGGGAAGGAAUUGCCAGAUUGGUUUUGCCUAGUGAAGCACUGGCUUUCAGAGCGUGGAAAGCACCUCUCCCCUGAUUCUCCUGAAUCACUUAGGUUACUGAAGGCAUGACCCUCAAGAUAUGAGCACAGGCUACUCAAAGAACUAGGAUGCUGCAAGUUUAUAAUAUAUUUUGUAUCCUUUUGUCUGCAUGAAUUCUGAAUUCCAGUUGCUAUUGAAUGGAUAUCAGGCACUAGGUAGUUGGUGGUUU
RNAcentral lists this long non-coding RNA (677 nucleotides) under Struthio camelus australis. RNAcentral's name for it is "lncRNA (ENSSCUG00000011846.1)". Lineage: Eukaryota; Metazoa; Chordata; Aves; Struthioniformes; Struthionidae. The record is from RNAcentral.